GGCCUCUUCCCCAUUGGGCUGCUGGGGAUCCCACUGCUCCUCAGCCAGGGCUGAAGGCGGAGAUCAGCCCUGGAGCAUCUUUAGAGUUGCCACUAGAAGGCAGCCCUGUUUUCUUGCCUCAGACAGGU
This is a non-coding RNA of Heterocephalus glaber (naked mole-rat), 128 nucleotides long. NCBI's taxonomy places the organism in Eukaryota, Metazoa, Chordata, Mammalia, Rodentia, Bathyergidae. The record is from Ensembl.